This 253-nucleotide ribosomal RNA is filed under the name uncultured bacterium. Its description in RNAcentral is "partial 16S ribosomal RNA". It matches the Rfam family "Bacterial small subunit ribosomal RNA", at positions 524 to 776 of the family's 1533-position model. The record is from RNAcentral.
GACGAGGGGCCCGAGCGGUAAUCGGAAUCACUGGGCUUAAAGGGUGCGUAGGCGGACAUGUAGGUGUUUUGUGAAAUCCCUCUGCUCAACGGAGGAAUUGCAGGGCAAACCACAUGUCUUGAGGCAGGUAGAGGCCGUCGGAACGAUAGGUGGAGCGGUGAAAUGCGUAGAUAUCUAUCGGAACGCCGAAGGUGAAGACAGACGGCUGGGCCUGUCCUGACGCUGAGGCACGAAAGCGUGGGGAGCAAACGGG